AUCGGGUAGCCUUGUUUCAGUUCUGUGUAGGACCUGAGCAACACAGGGGUUAAAAGUACCUCUGCCGUACAUGAACGAGCACGCAUCCCUCCCCAGGGAGACUGCCGUCCUGUGGGGCCCACUCGUGGAGCUGACAGC
Balaenoptera musculus (blue whale) is the source of this 138-nucleotide small nucleolar RNA. The record is from Ensembl. NCBI's taxonomy places the organism in Eukaryota, Metazoa, Chordata, Mammalia, Artiodactyla, Balaenopteridae.